GAUGAACGCUGGCGGCGUGCCUAAUACAUGCAAGUCGAGCGAACGGACGAGAAGCUUGCUUCUCUGAUGUUAGCGGCGGACGGGUGAGUAACACGUGGAUAACCUACCUAUAAGACUGGGAUAACUUCGGGAAACCGGAGCUAAUACCGGAUAAUAUUUUGAACCGCAUGGUUCAAAAGUGAAAGACGGUCUUGCUGUCACUUAUAGAUGGAUCCGCGCUGCAUUAGCUAGUUGGUAAGGUAACGGCUUACCAAGGCAACGAUGCAUAGCCGACCUGAGAGGGUGAUCGGCCACACGGGAACGGAGACCCGGUCCAGACUCCUACGGGAGGCAGCAGUAGGGAAUCUUCCGCAAUGGGCGAAAGCCUGACGGAGCAACGCCGCGUGAGUGAUGAAGGUCUUCGGAUCGUAAAACUCUGUUAUUAGGGAAGAACAUAUGUGUAAGUAACUGUGCACAUCUUGACGGUACCUAAUCAGAAAGCCACGGCUAACUACGUG
RNAcentral lists this ribosomal RNA (497 nucleotides) under uncultured bacterium. RNAcentral describes it as "partial 16S ribosomal RNA". It matches the Rfam family "Bacterial small subunit ribosomal RNA", at positions 28 to 507 of the family's 1533-position model. The record is from RNAcentral.